This 469-nucleotide ribosomal RNA is filed under the name uncultured bacterium. Its description in RNAcentral is "SSU rRNA". It matches the Rfam family "Bacterial small subunit ribosomal RNA", at positions 26 to 518 of the family's 1533-position model. The record is from RNAcentral.
AGGAUAAACGCUGGCGGCGUGCCUAACACAUGCAAGUCGAACGUCUCUUUCUUCGGGAAGAGGAGUGGCGGACGGGUGAGGAACACGUGGGAACCUGCCCUUUAGUGAGGAAUACCGGCGAGAAAUCGCCGACAAGACCGCAUAGCCCUCUUUGAUGAGAGUCAAAGAAGGAAAGCUUCGCAAGAGGCGCUAGAGGAGGGGCCUGCGUCCGAUUAGCUAGUUGGUGGGGUAAGAGCCUACCAAGGCGUCGAUCGGUAGCUGGUCUGAGAGGACGAUCAGCCACACUGGGAUUGAGAACGGCCCAGACUCCUACGGGGGCAGCAGUGAGGAAUUUUCGGCAAUGGGGGAAACCCUGACCGAGCAACGCCGCGUGCAGGAAGACGGCCUUCGGUUGUAACUGCUUUUCUCUGGACGAGAGCGGACGGUACCGAGAGGAAGAAGCCCGGCUAACGUACGUGCCAGCAGCCGC